RNAcentral lists this ribosomal RNA (253 nucleotides) under uncultured bacterium. RNAcentral describes it as "partial 16S ribosomal RNA". It matches the Rfam family "Bacterial small subunit ribosomal RNA", at positions 524 to 776 of the family's 1533-position model. The record is from RNAcentral.
UACGUAGGGGGCUAGCGUUGUCCGGAAUCAUUGGGCGUAAAGCGCGCGUAGGCGGCCCGGUAAGUCCGUUGUGAAAGUCAAAGGCUCAACCUUUGAAAGCCGAUGGAUACUGCCGGGCUAGAGUCCGGAAGAGGCGAGUGGAAUUCCUGGUGUAGCGGUGGAAUGCGUUGAUAUUGGCAGGAACGCCGGUGGUGAAGACGCGCGGCUGGACCUUUUCUGACGCUGAGGCACGAAAGCCAGGGGAGCAAACGGG